This 484-nucleotide ribosomal RNA is filed under the name uncultured bacterium. Its description in RNAcentral is "partial 16S ribosomal RNA". It matches the Rfam family "Bacterial small subunit ribosomal RNA", at positions 30 to 507 of the family's 1533-position model. The record is from RNAcentral.
AUUGAACGCUGGCGGCAGGCCUAACACAUGCAAGUCGAGCGGAGGAAGGGAGCUUGCUCCUGGAUUCAGCGGCGGACGGGUGAGUAAUGCCUAGGAAUCUGCCUGGUAGUGGGGGAUAACGUCCGGAAACGGGCGCUAAUACCGCAUCCGUCCUGAGGGAGAAAGUGGGGGAUCUUCGGACCUCACGCUAUCAGAUGAGCCUAGGUCGGAUUAGCUAGUUGGUGGGGUAAAGGCCUACCAAGGCGACGAUCCGUAACUGGUCUGAGAGGAUGAUCAGUCACACUGGAACUGAGACACGGUCCAGACUCCUACGGGAGGCAGCAGUGGGGAAUAUUGGACAAUGGGCGAAAGCCUGAUCCAGCCAUGCCGCGUGUGUGAAGAAGGUCUUCGGAUUGUAAAGCACUUUAAGUUGGGAGGAAGGGCAGUAAGUUAAUACCUUGCUGUUUUGACGUUACCAACAGAAUAAGCACCGGCUAACUUCGUG